RNAcentral lists this ribosomal RNA (279 nucleotides) under uncultured bacterium. RNAcentral describes it as "partial 16S ribosomal RNA". It matches the Rfam family "Bacterial small subunit ribosomal RNA", at positions 506 to 784 of the family's 1533-position model. The record is from RNAcentral.
UGCCAGCCGCCGCGGUAAUACGGAGGGUGCAAGCGUUAUUCGGAAUUACUGGGCGUAAAGCGCGCGUAGGCGGUUUAGUAAGUCUGAUGUGAAAGCCCGGGACUCAAUCCCGGAAGUGCAUUGGAUACUGCUAGACUAGAGUAUCGGAGAGGAAGACGGAAUUCCUGGUGUAGAGGUGAAAUUCGUAGAUAUCAGGAGGAACAACGGUGGCGAAGGCGGUCUUCUGGACGAUAACUGACGCUGAGGUGCGAAAGCGUGGGGAGCAAACAGGAUUAGAUA